AGGAAUUGUUGCUGAACUUGUUGGGAUUAAGACAAGGUUAAUAAUCAAGAUUCUGGUGGAGAUAUAAAUUACCAUGCAGAUUAAAGAAAAAAUAACCUUUGUGCAUGAACCAGAACUAAACCAAAAUCAGCCAACAUUAAUCUUUGGAAUUUUAUCAAACAUUGUUCUUGAAAGCUAACAAAGGUCUAAAGAAAAGGAAAAUGUUUCACAAAAAGGCAGUACAAAAAACUACUGGGAUUGUACGAGACCAACAGCAUUUUACAUUAACUUAUCUGAUGACAAUAUCUUCACAAAGAGCUUAAAUGCUAUACAAACAUAUGUAAUCACUGCUCAUACAACCAUUAACAAGUUUCUAUUUUAAUUGUUAUAAGCCACAAUAUUUUUAUACUAAUUUCAUUUAAAAACCAAAUAAUGUUUCUAAUAUAAAUGUUAUA
Lucilia sericata (common green bottle fly) is the source of this 434-nucleotide long non-coding RNA. RefSeq lists it as uncharacterized. The record is from RefSeq and is a predicted model, not a curated record. NCBI's taxonomy places the organism in Eukaryota, Metazoa, Arthropoda, Insecta, Diptera, Calliphoridae. The transcript is spliced from 4 exons.